This is a long non-coding RNA of Perca fluviatilis (European perch), 497 nucleotides long. RefSeq lists it as uncharacterized. The transcript is spliced from 3 exons. The record is from RefSeq and is a predicted model, not a curated record. NCBI's taxonomy places the organism in Eukaryota, Metazoa, Chordata, Actinopteri, Perciformes, Percidae.
CCCAAUACAGGCCAGGCAUAGAGCUGGGAGUAGAUGAGACGCUCUCCUUGGUUGUUCGGGGCCAUCAUCCAAUGCAGAGCGCAGAAUCCGGACCUUGGAGACAUUCUCAUCAUUGACGGGCAGUGGUUCAGCUACAUCUGUCAGUGGUUGGGCUUCACCUACAUAACAGAACAGACAUGGACAGGACAACAUCAUAUCUCAACAACCACAGAUGACCCAUCUUGAUCUAUCGACCCCACCAACAGAACCUGGCCAAGAAAGCCCCAAAACUUCUGCUCUUCCUCCCAUAUGCUGCUACUGUUUUUUUUAAAAUUUAUUUUCUAUUAUUCUUAAAUUUGCUAUGAACCUUUGACCCGACACUCAUAUUGCACUGCCUUUUGCUACUUGUCCCUUUGUUUAUUUAUAUUAUGUCUAGUAAUGUCAUCCACUUGCACUGAUACACUAUAUUAAUACAGUGUACAUGCUGUCUGCAAUGUUAAUAAAUAACUGCUUCCCUA